UGGGGAAUAUUGGACAAUGGGGGGAACCCUGAUCCAGCCAUGCCGCGUGUGUGAAGAAGGCCUUUUGGUUGUAAAGCACUUUAAGCGAGGAGGAGGAGCCCUAAGUUAAUACCUUAGGAGCUCGGACGUUACUCGCAGAAUAAGCACCGGCUAACUCUGUGCCAGCAGCCGCGGUAAUACAGAGGGUGCGAGCGUUAAUCGGAUUUACUGGGCGUAAAGCGUGCGUAGGCGGCCACUUAAGUCGGAUGUGAAAUCCCCGAGCUCAACUUGGGAAUUGCAUUCGAUACUGGGUGGCUAGAGUAUGGGAGAGGAAGGUAGAAUUCCAGGUGUAGCGGUGAAAUGCGUAGAGAUCUGGAGGAAUACCGAUGGCGAAGGCAGCCUUCUGGCCUAAUACUGACGC
Molecule: ribosomal RNA, 400 nt
Filed under: uncultured bacterium
Lineage: Bacteria
Description: bacterial SSU rRNA
Rfam family: Bacterial small subunit ribosomal RNA
Source: RNAcentral